UGCCCCACNGUACCCCUCUCGGGAACAAGGAGCCGGCAUCAGGCACUUCCCCGAAUGCCCACGACGCCCUGCCUAGCCACGCCCCCACGGGACCUCAGCAGUGAUAAACAUUAAGCCAUAUGCGAAAGCUUGACUUAGUUAUAGCUAAGAGGGCCGGUAAAACUCGUGCCAGCCACCGCGGUUAUACGAGGGGCCCAAGUUGAURGCUGCCGGCGUAUGGCGUGGGUAGGACAAGACUCACACUAAGGCCAAACACCUUCAAGGCUGUAAUACGCACCCGAAGACAGGAAGUCCAACCACGAAAGUGGCUUUAUAUAGUUUCAACCCACGAAAGCUAGGGAACAAACGGGGAUUAGAGACCCUCUUAUGCCUAGCCGUAAACAUUGAUGGYACWAUACACCCGCCAUCCGCCUGGGAACUACGAGCAAGCGCUUAAAACCCAAAGGACCUGGCGGUGCUUUAGACCCCCCUAGAGGAGCCUGUUCUGGAACCGAUACCCCCCGUUCAACCUCACCCUUCCUUGUCCGUCCAGCCUAUAUACCGCCGUCGUCAGCCUACCCCCUGAGGGGCCUAAAGUAGACAAGACUGGUAAUACCCAAAACGACAGGUCGAGGUGUAGCGCAUGGAAGGGGRAGAAAUGGGCUACAUUCGCU
RNAcentral lists this ribosomal RNA (653 nucleotides) under Furcina sp. FMNH_Uncat. Its description in RNAcentral is "partial 12S ribosomal RNA". It matches the Rfam family "Bacterial small subunit ribosomal RNA", at positions 65 to 1235 of the family's 1533-position model. Lineage: Eukaryota; Metazoa; Chordata; Actinopteri; Perciformes; Cottidae. The record is from RNAcentral.